This 789-nucleotide ribosomal RNA is filed under the name Triticum aestivum (bread wheat). RNAcentral describes it as "partial small subunit ribosomal RNA". The record is from RNAcentral. Lineage: Eukaryota; Viridiplantae; Streptophyta; Magnoliopsida; Poales; Poaceae.
AUGGAGGCGGUGAUAGCGGCGGCGGAAGAGAGCGUGCGUGCCAAUGGGGCUACGAAGACGUUGGUCGUGGCCGAGGACGGGCGAUAUCACCAGGGCGACAACAAUUACGGCGGCGGCAACAACCAUGGCGGCCUGCAGGCCUCCCCUCUUCGAGCGCUACCACGCAGAGGCAACACAGCUCGGGAAGAAGUCCCAGGCGAUGGACAUCAGUCGUGCCGCUGUAGAUCCAAUCGACCGGCGAUGGAGCAGUUAUUGGCGUUCCUCCGCGCGGCACCAGAUUUUGAAUUCAGUGUGGUAGAGAACACCCACAAAAUCAUCACAAGGAUUCAUGAACCUACUUUCGAAUGGAAGAAAUGUGAUGUUCAAUUGCCAUUAACCCGAUCGGUCUCUUGCAUGGUAAAUCUCCAAUGGUCUGAAUCUGGUUCCUCUGCGGACUAUUAUGAUGUUUACAGAGUCGGAUUUUGUGCAGGGGAAGGGGAGACCGAGGAGGAAAUGGCGACCAAGAGGUGUGCAGGCACCCUGGGUGACAAGGGCCUCAGGGGGGAGAAGGUGUUCCUUAGUGCCGAUCUGAACGUUCUGCUGGACGACGGCCUGAACAUCACUGGUGACAACCGCAUCCGCGCCUCCAUGCCGUCCAUCAAGUUCCUCAUGGGGAAGGGCGCCAAGGUUGUCCUGGCCAACCAUCUGGCCGCCGAGUCCAACUCCUCUGCGGUGCAGAUCACCCGCCCACCGCGCUGCGCAAUUCACGAUGCAGGCGGCCCUCCUCCACGGGAAAAGUGUGAACUAUGA